AAGUCGUAACAAGGUUUCCGUAGGUGAACCUGCGGAAGGAUCAUUAAUGAAUGCUCACGAAGAUGAUUCCUUUUGCGAGGAUGAGUCUUCCAUUCACUCAUUUCACCCGUGCUCUCUAUCUUUAGGGAUAGAGUUUGUUUCUCACUCAAGUAAAUAUCAAAUUCGUCUGAAAUAAAAUAUUUCUGUAAAAAUGUUCUUUGCAGGUUAAAAGAUUAAACAAUUAAAACUAUGAACAACGGAUCUCUUGGCUCUU
RNAcentral lists this unclassified non-coding RNA (253 nucleotides) under fungal sp. RNAcentral describes it as "partial internal transcribed spacer region". The stretch from base 1 to 46 matches the Rfam family "Eukaryotic small subunit ribosomal RNA", at positions 1786 to 1831 of the family's 1831-position model. Lineage: Eukaryota; Fungi. The record is from RNAcentral.